Molecule: ribosomal RNA, 74 nt
Filed under: Diarrhena obovata
Lineage: Eukaryota; Viridiplantae; Streptophyta; Magnoliopsida; Poales; Poaceae
Description: 5.8S ribosomal RNA
Source: RNAcentral
CGCGAACCAUCGAGUCUUUGAACGCAAGUUGCGCCCGAGGCCACCCGGCCGAGGGGACGCCUGCCUGGGCGUCA